AUACGGAGGAUGCAAGCGUUAUCCGGAUUUAUUGGGUUUAAAGGGUGCGUAGGCGGUUUGCUAAGCGGGAGGUGAAAUGCCGGCGCUCAACGUCGGAAGUGCCUCCCGAACUGGUGGACUUGAAUGACUCUGCCGUGGGAGGAAUGUGUAGUGUAGCGGUGAAAUGCUUAGAGAUUACACAGAACACCGAUUGCGAAGGCAUCUCACGAAGGGUUGAUUGACGCUGAGGCACGAAAGCGUGGGGAUCAAACAGGAUUAGAUACCCUGGUAGUCCACGCAGUAAACGAUGAUGGCUAACCGCUGGGCUUAUCAGUUUAGUGGCCAAGCGAAAGCGAUAAGCCAUCCACCUGGGGAGUACGACCGCAAGGUUGAAACUCAAAUGAAUUGGCGGGG
RNAcentral lists this ribosomal RNA (393 nucleotides) under uncultured bacterium. RNAcentral describes it as "partial 16S ribosomal RNA". It matches the Rfam family "Bacterial small subunit ribosomal RNA", at positions 523 to 918 of the family's 1533-position model. The record is from RNAcentral.